This 552-nucleotide ribosomal RNA is filed under the name uncultured euryarchaeote. Its description in RNAcentral is "16S ribosomal RNA". It matches the Rfam family "Archaeal small subunit ribosomal RNA", at positions 325 to 879 of the family's 1478-position model. The record is from RNAcentral. Lineage: Archaea; Methanobacteriati; Methanobacteriota.
AUGGGGUGCAGCNNNNGCGAAAACUUGACAAUGCGAGAAAUCGUGAUCAGGGGACUCCAGUUGGCUGGAUCAAAAGUCCAGUCUGAACCNACUUUAAAUCGGUCGGGUAAUAGGGGCGGGAAAGACCGGUGCCAGCCGCCGCGGUAAUACCGGCGCCCCAAGUGGUCGUCACUAUUAUUGGGCCUAAAACGUCCGUAGCCGGUUUGGUAAAUCCGUGGGUAAAUCAGACAGCCCAACUGUCUGAAUUCUGCGGGGACUGCCAGACUUGAGACCGGGAGAGGUACGGGGUACCUCUGGGGUAGCGGUAAAAUGCGAUCAUNUNUNAGGGACCACNUGUUGCGAAGGCGCCNUACUAGAACGGAUCUGACGGUCAGGGACGAAGCCUAGGGGCACGAACCGGAUUAGAUACCCGGGUAGUCCUAGGUGUAAACGCUGCGGACUUGGUGUCGGGGACCUUCUGAGGGUUUCCGGUGCCGUANUGAAGANGUUAAGUCNNCUGCCUGGGGAGUACGGNCGCAAGGCUGAAACUUAAAGGAAUUGGNNGGGGAGNAC